AAAGCAGACAGACACACACACAUACACACAGACACGACGGAGAAAGGAAUGAAUUAAAAUACACACACAGGUCCCACAACAAAACAGCGGUGGAAAAGAAAAAAAGACAAAAGGGAACAACAAGAAACCCUCAAAAUGAACUUUAAAAAACAAGCCAGAAAUGCCACCCGAACACCGUGUCCUGCAAUAUAGCAUGAAAGAGAGUAACACAAGCCUCCGGAGACAAUUUAUCUAGCAGACCAUACACAACAAUAAUGCCAUUUCCCCAACAUUAUACAUUAACAGUGCAGUCCAUUAACUACGAAAACCACCAAGACAGCCAGAGAGAAAACAGUAUCCUAAAGAGGGAGGGAAGAAACAAUCCUCAGAGCAACAAGAAAGAAGGAAAAACAACUGUCUGCAAGGUAUAAAUAAAGUAGCAUUUGCGUUAAUCCUUCCCAGCGUUUAACUGAUAGUUGCCUGCCGGAGAAGAAGGGGGAGGGGGAGAAAGUUGAAGCAGGAAAUGUGCCAAGUUCAGCACUUUUGGACGCAAACUCCCAUCAACUGAUUCCUGGCAUAAAAGUGUGACCCAUAUACAAAAGCUGCCAAAAAAAGCAAAAUAUAAACAAUCCACCACUUAUAUCUCAUCCUGUAAAACAGAAGUGAUAUCAGCAUUUAAGAAGGGGGUAUAACAUCCACUUUGAAACCACAGAGACACAAUCUCGGCCUGGAGGAAGAAAAAAAACAAGAGCCAAGCAAGUUAAAAAAAAAAAAUUCAACGCCGCAUACCAAUGCACUGUAUUGCAUUAAAUAAAUGGGAUCCUGAAAUCUGUAACACACCACCGGGCCGUUGGCCUCACAUUCCCAGAAAUGCAGGAAAUCGGCGCAGACUGAGAGGGAAACAUGCACGAUUUCAGAUCCGCUGCCUGGUUUAUUUCAGUCUCUGCUGAAGGCACUUCGACCAAAUUGCCCGCUUCUCUCAGCGGGACUGGAGGUGUAGCCGCUGUCGUGACACCCAGAAYGGACGGACAGCCCUUAGCACUGGCACUGCUCUGAGCAGAUGGCAAUGCAGAGGGGAAUAACGGAGCAGGAACGGUGAAGUCCCUUGCAACUGCUUUAAAAARUUUUAAAUACAUCAGAUUCCAAAAUACUUCAGUUUAGCCCUUGCGGACCACACUUGACAAGAACAUUUCU
RNAcentral lists this long non-coding RNA (1173 nucleotides) under Dromaius novaehollandiae (emu). RNAcentral describes it as "lncRNA (ENSDNVG00000004900.1)". Lineage: Eukaryota; Metazoa; Chordata; Aves; Casuariiformes; Dromaiidae. The record is from RNAcentral.